RNAcentral lists this long non-coding RNA (580 nucleotides) under Daucus carota (carrot). RNAcentral describes it as "long non-coding RNA (DCAR_LNC005475)". The record is from RNAcentral. Lineage: Eukaryota; Viridiplantae; Streptophyta; Magnoliopsida; Apiales; Apiaceae.
GAAACUGUUUAUGCGAGUAGUUUUCAAUUUCUGAUAAAUUGCAGAGCAAAAUUCCUUUUUAUUUCGUGAACAUACUUUUGCUGACAGAUCAUGUUAUCCAAAGUAUACUAAUCUUUGUUGCAAGACUUUGCUGAAUGAUCAUACUGGCUUGUAGUUUCACUGGUACACCACAGGUAAUAGCUUACUAUAGGAUGAGGGUUCAAGAGUCGGCGGAGACAUGGAGUCAUUGUGAUUUGUGCCCAUUUAAAUACCAGUUGUUGACCAUUUAUAUAAUAUAAAAACGAAUUUUCUAUGGUGUGCCCAUGGGCACACACUAGUCACUAACUCUCAUGAGAAUACUACAUUUUGAUUGGUGGAUUAGUAAUAAAUGUUAAUGGCCCCCCUGCAUUCACACCAAUUCCACCAAUCAAAACAAGCCAUUUUCCUAAAAGUUCGUGCUUAUUGUGUGCCCUUGGGCACACAUUAGAAAGACCGAUAUAAAAAUGGUUAGCAGGAUGUUUUGUGUAUAAUAUACUGACCUUAAUGCUGUUUGUUGGUUGCAGAAUCACUAGGACAUGCUUCAGCAGUGUCCAUUCUUCUG